AAAUGGAGAAGAUUCCAUCCCAAAAAUCUGUUCUUGCCUAUUCCUGUACCAGAUUUCGAGUUUUCGGAACUCCAGACACCUCCUCUCUUCUCUAAUGGAGCCAUUCACUGGGAAAUAAGUGGAUACUUGCUGGUGUAUCAGGUUGAAGAUGAUUUUUGUGACCUAAUUGAACUGCCAAAUUUCUUGGAAGACUGGUCCUGGCAAUCAACUAUGACUUACAAGCGAUGCUUAUCAGAGUUUCAAGGGCGAGUUCACUAUACUUACACUGAUUUUGAAGGAGUUCACUCCUGGAUUCUUCUCAAUGAACAAGAUCAUGACUAUUACUCAUUAUACAAUAUCUACGAUCGCAAAAAAUUCAGGUGGGCACUAGCUGACAGUGUCAAUCAUCAAGACCUGAGUUUUAAGCAUCAAGAAAUCUACUCCCAUCGCGGCCAGUGGCACAUGGAGCCCUAUGAUGCAUCUCCUUUGUCCUUCAGUGAAGAUUCUGAGACGAUGUAUUUGCAGCUUCCAGGAUUUUUGGUUUCUUACAACACAAGGACAAAGGUUCUUGAAGAAUUCUGCACAUACAUAUUUCCAGGUGUUAAUUUCAAUUGCUGCAUGUUCUUGCCCUUUACAUAUGGCAGGCAAAUUCAGGCAGAAACUGAAAGUGAAUCCUUGGAAGUUGGAGCAGUCCAUUUGCCA
Molecule: unclassified non-coding RNA, 681 nt
Filed under: Hevea brasiliensis (rubber tree)
Lineage: Eukaryota; Viridiplantae; Streptophyta; Magnoliopsida; Malpighiales; Euphorbiaceae
Source: RNAcentral